UACGUAGGGGCUAGCGUUAUCCGGAAUUACUGGGCGUAAAGGGUGCGUAGGUGGUUUCUUAAGUCAGAGGUGAAAGGCUACGGCUCAACCGUAGUAAGCCUUUGAAACUGAGAAACUUGAGUGCAGGAGAGGAGAGUAGAAUUCCUAGUGUAGCGGUGAAAUGCGUAGAUAUUAGGAGGAAUACCAGUUGCGAAGGCGGCUCUCUGGACUGUAACUGACACUGAGGCACGAAAGCGUGGGGAGCAAACAGGAUUAGAUACCCCUGUAGUCCCUGA
RNAcentral lists this ribosomal RNA (275 nucleotides) under uncultured prokaryote. RNAcentral describes it as "partial 16S ribosomal RNA". It matches the Rfam family "Bacterial small subunit ribosomal RNA", at positions 524 to 800 of the family's 1533-position model. The record is from RNAcentral.